This 580-nucleotide ribosomal RNA is filed under the name Hanseniaspora uvarum. Its description in RNAcentral is "partial large subunit ribosomal RNA". It matches the Rfam family "Eukaryotic large subunit ribosomal RNA", at positions 69 to 670 of the family's 3401-position model. Lineage: Eukaryota; Fungi; Ascomycota; Saccharomycetes; Saccharomycodales; Saccharomycodaceae. The record is from RNAcentral.
AGGGGAUAGUACGGCGAGUGAGCGGUAAAAGCUCAAAUUUGAAAUCUGGUACUUUCAGUGCCCGAGUUGUAAUUUGUAGAAUUUGUCUUUGAUUAGGUCCUUGUCUAUGUUCCUUGGAACAGGACGUCAUAGAGGGUGAGAAUCCCGUUUGGCGAGGAUACCUUUUCUCUGUAAGACUUUUUCGAAGAGUCGAGUUGUUUGGGAAUGCAGCUCAAAGUGGGUGGUAAAUUCCAUCUAAAGCUAAAUAUUGGCGAGAGACCGAUAGCGAACAAGUACAGUGAUGGAAAGAUGAAAAGAACUUUGAAAAGAGAGUGAAAAAGUACGUGAAAUUGUUGAAAGGGAAGGGCAUUUGAUCAGACAUGGUGUUUUUUGCAUGCACUCGCCUCUCGUGGGCUUGGGCCUCUCAAAAAUUUCACUGGGCCAACAUCAAUUCUGGCAGCAGGAUAAAUCAUUAAGAAUGUAGCUACUUCGGUAGUGUUAUAGCUUUUUGGAAUACUGUUAGCCGGGAUUGAGGACUGCGCUUCGGCAAGGAUGUUGGCAUAAUGGUUAAAUGCCGCCCGUCUUGAGAAAAAGGACAAAA